CCUACGGGGGACUGCAGUGAGGAAUAUUGGUCAAUGGCCGCAGGGCUGAACCAGCCAAGUCGCGUGAGGGAUGACGGUCCUAUGGAUUGUAAACCUCUUUUGUCAGGGAGCAAAGGGCGCCACGUGUGGCGCUUUGCGAGUACCUGAAGAACAAGCAUCGGCUAACUCCGUGCCAGCAGCCGCGGUAAUACGGAGGAUGCGAGCGUUAUCCGGAUUUAUUGGGUUUAAAGGGUGCGCAGGCGGAAUGUCAAGUCAGCGGUAAAAUUUCGGGGCUCAACCCCGUCGUGCCGUUGAAACUGGCGUUCUUGAGUGAGCGAGAAGUAUGCGGAAUGCGUGGUGUAGCGGUGAAAUGCAUAGAUAUCACGCAGAACUCCGAUUGCGAAGGCAGCAUACCGGCGCUCAACUGACGCUCAUGCACGAAAGCGUGGGUAUCGAACAGGAUUAGAUACCCCGGUAGUC
RNAcentral lists this ribosomal RNA (459 nucleotides) under uncultured bacterium. RNAcentral's name for it is "partial 16S ribosomal RNA". It matches the Rfam family "Bacterial small subunit ribosomal RNA", at positions 338 to 795 of the family's 1533-position model. The record is from RNAcentral.